RNAcentral lists this long non-coding RNA (3026 nucleotides) under Oryctolagus cuniculus (rabbit). Its description in RNAcentral is "lncRNA (ENSOCUG00000035493.1)". The record is from RNAcentral. Lineage: Eukaryota; Metazoa; Chordata; Mammalia; Lagomorpha; Leporidae.
AUGCUCACCAGAUACCUCCCAGCGCACCCCCAGCGGAUGGGCUCUGGGAGCGCCAAGAGCCCGGCGCGCCCGUGCCCGCCGAUCCGACUUACCCACGUCCCAGGCUCCGGCCCCGCGCCGCGGGCUUUUGUUCACAGCUCGCCGCUCUCCCCGGCGCCUCUUCAGUCCCCGCGCCGGCGGGGUCGGGUUACUGCCUGCUGCAGCCGCGAAAGGAGCCCCAGCUGCCGCCUCCGGCGUCUCUCCAUGGGGUCCGCGAGCGGGGCGCGCACACCCGGGGCGCUACCUACUGCGGGAGGGGGAGUGCGACCGAGUCUCCCCAAAAUAACGCGGCUCUGCGCGCUUCGCUCACACAGAUUCUUUAAAAAGGAAGCCCCGUUUCCAUCGCUGCUGCAUCCAUCGCCACCUCUAUCACCGCCAAGAUACACAUCCAUCACCCAGGAACCGGGAGACCUGGAGCUGUUCACUGAGGAGAAUGAAGGCAUCUCUGCGCUUGUUUCUCAAGGAGACCCUGAGAAGCGGAGAAAAAAAAAGAUGAUAGCAAAUAGCUGGGUAGAAAUGCACCCGAUACAAACUAUGAUUUUAUCUUUUAAGAAAAACCAAGUGCACUCAGUGUGGGUUUGAGGCAGGCAAAAAGCUGGUAGCUGGUGUUUCAUGCAACCUUGAUUUCCUGGUUCCAGAUAAUAGAACUAAAGCCAGUUAGCGCCGGUGCCUGGGUUUUAUUUUGAGGCAGCUCCUCCCCACCUCCUUUCCAGAGACAGAUGGGAGAAAUCCUCGAGGGAGGGACUGAGGGGGACAUGGCAUCGAGGAGCACAGUGGGCUGUGUGGUCACACGAUGCUGACGUGCACAGCGAAGCAGGAAAGUGGCCCGAUUUGCCUUGUGUUUUAGGAACAGAGAGGUGGAGGCUUCACAGGGCCAAGAGGAGGCUGGAAGUGCAGGUAGCAGGACGCUGCAGUCGCCCGGGGCAGGAAGGCUUGGGACACGAGCAGGAGUGGGUCUGAAGAGGAGGGGAUAUGGAUUCCAUAAACAGCAGAAGAGGCAAUGCUCAAAGAUAGCUUGGCUCUGGGGCGUGAAGAACAGCAGGGGUCCUGGGGACGACAGCUUGAGUUGGAGGUGCCGCUGCUCACCAGGGGGCUGGAGAGCUUGUGUCAGGAGCUAGAAUCUGGGGUGUCAUCACCAUGUACAAGGGUCUUGAUGGCCACAGCGCGAGAUCAGCCAACAAGGGCAGGUGGAGCCACAGAGAGAGGCCAGCAAGGCAUCUGGGGAGAGACAGAUCAGGGAGAGGCAGGAGUGUGGUUUGUGCAUUGCAGAGCACUUCGGAAGGAGGAUAUACCCCUAGCAUCAAGGGCUGCAGAGGGCGGAAGGGAUUUGCCCAGGGGUAAAACACGCUGAAACUGGAAGUUAUCUGUGUUUGGUGACACUGACAAAAACGGUUUUGUAUCCUACUGGGAGCCAACGUUCAGGAGAUUGAGGUACAAUGGGAGGUGACACAGGGAGAGUUACUGAUUCUUUUUUUUUUUUUUUAGAUUUAUUUAUGUAUUUGAAAGAGUUACACACAGAGAAAAAGAGAGGCAGAAAGAGAGGUACUCCAUCCGCUGGUUCACUCCCCAGCUGGCUGCAAGGACCAGAGCUGUGCCAAUCCGAACCCAGAGCCAGGAGCUUCCUCCAGGUCUCCCACGCGGGCACAGGGGCAAGCACUUGGGCCAUCUUCUACUGCCUUCCUAGGCCAUAGCAGAGAACCGGAUGGGAGGUGGAGCAGCUGGGACUCGAACUGGCAUCCAUGUGGAAUGCCGGCAAUGCAGCUGGCGGCUUCACCCGCUACACCCAAACGCUGGCCCCAGUUACUGAUUCUUUUGACAGUUCAAUGAUAGUGUUAAAACCUCAAAAGGGGCCGGCGCCACGGCUCACUACGCUAAUCCUCCACCUUGUGGCACCGGCACACCGGGUCUAGUCCCGGUCGGGGCACCAGAUUCUGUCCCGGUUGCCCCUCUUCCAGGCCAGCUCUCUGCUGUGGCCAGGGAGUGCAGUGGAGGUGGCCAAGUACCUGGGCCCUGCACCCCGUGGGAGACCAGGAUAAGUACCUGGCUCCUGCCAUCAGAUCAGCACGGUGCGCCGGCCAUGGCGGCCAUUGGAGGGUGAACCAACGGCAAAGGAAGACCUUUCUCUCUGUCUCUCACUCUGCCUGUCAAACAAACAAACAAACAAACAAAACCUCAAAAGGGUUUGGGAUCUUGUUCUCACCUGCUCAUGAGUUAGCCCACCACAGUUUCACUGGUACUGGAGGAGGAUCUGAGACUCCUGGGUCAGAAACGAAAGACUUUGCUACUGGUAGCACAGCAGGAAGCAGAAGAUCCUGUUUCUGUUAGCUCCCCUUGCUCCACAAGCAUCGUGGAGAAGUCGCCGGGCUUCUGUCCCAGCUGCACAGCCCCAAGCUUGGUGACGGCCUGAUCUUUUAUGGGGAGCCACUAGCGCAGCUGCUCAACCUUUGCCCCAAAAGGAGACAUUAUCUUUAUUACUCUGACCUGGAGGCAAACAGUAUCUCUGCCAACUAGGGGUGCUUACUUUACAAACAUCCCUGGAACAAACUCCUUCACAAGACACGCAGAAAUGUUGGAAAAAAUUGUUCUUAACAGGGGCCAGCACUGUAGCACAGCAGAUGGAGCCGCCAACUAUGACACCAGCAACCCAUGUGAGCAGAGGUUCAAGUCCCUGCUGCUCCAUUUCUGAUCCAGCUGCCUGGUAAUGCACCGGGAAGGCAGCAGAAGAUGUCCAAGUGUUUGGGCCCUGCCACACACAUAGAAGACACAGAUGGAGUUCUGGGCUCCUGGUUUUAGCCUGGCCCAGCCCUAGUCAUUGUGGCCAUUUGGGGAGUGAAAUAGAGGAUGGAAGAUCUCUUUCUCUGUGUCUCUCUGUCUUUGUUUCUCUCUCUCUCUCUCUCUCUCUCUCUCUCUCUUUCUGUAUGUGUUUAUGUGUGUGUGAACUCAGCCUUUCAAAUAAAUAAAAUAAAUCUUUUUUUUUAAAAAAAAAA